UCCGUUGAGCGUCGUU
RNAcentral lists this ribosomal RNA (16 nucleotides) under uncultured soil eukaryote. RNAcentral describes it as "partial 5.8S ribosomal RNA". The record is from RNAcentral.